ACAAGAAAGCCGCAUUUCAGUAAUGCGGAUGUGAUGUCAGCGCCGUACGUGCAAAGAGCCCAUUGGUUAGCGCUGACCAGAGCGGUUGACUCUGACUCCCUGCUAUUUCAGAACUUUCCCGAACCGCGGGGGUUGCUGCUUCGAUCGGGAGACAGAAUGUGAAUGAUGCAAAAUGAAAAACCAAGCUGGUAGAUCACAGACCGAACAGAGCGCAGCUGAAGCAGGACAAUGCUUGCAGGCAUUACUGAACAGAGCAAAAUAGAGAGGUUCAGAACAUGAGUAUGGAGAGACAAGCGAGUGUCCAGAUGGCCAGGUAGGAAAGGAAGUGUUGCUUUUAAGGGCAACACUUCCUUUAACUAUAUUUCUGUAAGUCAGUUUCUUUAGUG
Long non-coding RNA from Gambusia affinis (western mosquitofish), 386 nucleotides. RefSeq lists it as uncharacterized. NCBI's taxonomy places the organism in Eukaryota, Metazoa, Chordata, Actinopteri, Cyprinodontiformes, Poeciliidae. The record is from RefSeq and is a predicted model, not a curated record. The transcript has 3 exons.